GGUUCAUCCCGCCGGAGGCGACCGCUGUGGGAGUCCGAUUAAGCCAUGCGAGUCGAGAGAAUAAGAUUCUCGGCAUACCGCUCAGUAACACGUGGAUAACUGCCCUGUGCUGGGGGAUAACCUCGCGAAAGUGAGAACAAUACCCCAUGGGUCACUAUGCCUGGAACGGUUAGUGGCUGAAAGCUCCGGCGGCACAGGAUGGGUCUGCGGCGUAUCAGGUCGUAGGGGGUGUAACGUACCUCCUAGCCUUCGACGCGUACGGGUUGUGGGAGCAAUUGCCCGGAGAUGGAUUCUGAGACACGAAUCCAGGCCCUACGGGGCGCAGCAGGCGCGAAAACUUGACAAUGCGAGAAAUCGUGAUCAGGGGACUCCAGUUGGCUGGAUCAAAAGUCCAGUCUGAACCGACUUUAAAUCGGUCGGGUAAUAGGGGCGGGAAAGACCGGUGCCAGCCGCCGCGGUAAUACCGGCGCCCCUAGUGGUCGUCACUAUUAUUGGGCCUAAAACGUCCGUAGCCGGUUUGGUAAAUCCGUGGGUAAAUCAGACAGCCCAACUGUCUGAAUUCUGCGGGGACUGCCAGACUUGAGACCGGGAGAGGUGCGGGGUACCUGCGGGGUAGCGGUAAAAUGCGAUCAUCCCGUAGAGACCACCUGUUGCGAAGGCGCCGCACUAGAACGGAUCUGACGGUCAGGGACGAAGCCUAGGGGCACGAACCGGAUUAGAUACCCGGGUAGUCCUAGGUGUAAACGCUGUGGACUUGGUGUCGGGGACCUUCUGAGGGUUUCCGGUGCCGGAGUGAAGAUGUUAAGUCCACUGCCUGGGGAGUACGGUCGC
RNAcentral lists this ribosomal RNA (831 nucleotides) under uncultured Candidatus Poseidoniales archaeon. Its description in RNAcentral is "SSU rRNA". It matches the Rfam family "Archaeal small subunit ribosomal RNA", at positions 6 to 844 of the family's 1478-position model. Lineage: Archaea; Methanobacteriati; Thermoplasmatota; Candidatus Poseidoniia; Candidatus Poseidoniales. The record is from RNAcentral.